CUACGGGAGGCUGCAGUGAGGAAUAUUGCACAAUGGGGGGAACCCUGAUGCAGCAACGCCGCGUGGAGGAUGACACUUUUCGGAGCGUAAACUCCUUUUAUAUAGGAAGAAGAUGACGGUACUAUAUGAAUAAGCGCCGGCUAACUCCGUGCCAGCAGCCGCGGUAAUGCGGAGGGCGCAAGCGUUACUCGGAGUCACUGGGCGUAAAGAGCGUGUAGGCGGAUUAAAAGGUCAGAAGUGAAAUCCUAUAGCUUAACUAUAGAACUGCUUCUGAAACUCUUAAUCUAGAAUAUGGGAGAGGUAGAUGGAAUUUCUGGUGUAGGGGUAAAAUCCGUAGAGAUCAGAAGGAAUACCGAUUGCGAAGGCGAUCUACUAGAACAUUAUUGACGCUGAGACGCGAAAGCGUGGGGAGCAAACAGGAUUAGAUACCCUGGUAGUC
This 439-nucleotide ribosomal RNA is filed under the name uncultured bacterium. RNAcentral describes it as "partial 16S ribosomal RNA". It matches the Rfam family "Bacterial small subunit ribosomal RNA", at positions 339 to 795 of the family's 1533-position model. The record is from RNAcentral.